GCUAUUCUCUUUACCUGGCCCUGAUGCGCGCCAGCCAACCAGGCCAAGGCCAGGGGACCUCGAGACCGGCAGCCUCGACGAAGAACCGGAAGGAGGAAAAGGAACGGGAGGGAGGAAGAUCUCCCGCAUUGACUUCAUAACCAAGUUCUGGGUCCCUGCCUCUGGAGUGCCUGAUGAGACAAAACGGCUCCUCGUCCUGCAUCCCCGCUGCUACUUCCAGAAUUCAGGCCUCGUGGUCUGGAGCCUGCACUGUUCCAUGAGCCUCCUGAGCAACCUGGAGUCCUCUGUCUUUCUUCCCUCAGUGAGAUGCGCCUACUUCUCCCUGGAGAAGCUCGAGGAAGCAGGAAUGCUGGAGAUGAGACCCAGCACACCCUGCCUGCAUGGCGCUGCGCUGCACCUUCACUCUGGUCACGGGUCUGGCAGUCGGCUCACCAAUUCGUCCUGCUUCCCUGGGACUCGCCGGCUUUUAGCACUGCAAUUCACUCAGCAAACUGGGACUGUU
Molecule: long non-coding RNA, 502 nt
Filed under: Homo sapiens (human)
Lineage: Eukaryota; Metazoa; Chordata; Mammalia; Primates; Hominidae
Description: non-protein coding LINC00893:6
Source: RNAcentral